RNAcentral lists this ribosomal RNA (218 nucleotides) under uncultured bacterium. RNAcentral's name for it is "partial 16S ribosomal RNA". It matches the Rfam family "Bacterial small subunit ribosomal RNA", at positions 116 to 334 of the family's 1533-position model. The record is from RNAcentral.
CGUGAGUAACCUGCCUCUAAGAGGGGAAUAACAUUCUGAAAAGAAUGCUAAUACCGCAUAACAUAUAUUUAUUGCAUGGUAGAUAUAUCAAAGAUUUAUCGCUUAGAGAUGGACUCGCGUCCGAUUAGUUAGUUGGUGAGGUAACGGCUCACCAAGACUGCGAUCGGUAGCCGGACUGAGAGGUUGAACGGCCACAUUGGGACUGAGACACGGCCCAG